AUGAACGUUGGCGGUGUGCCUAAUACAUGCAAGUCGAACGAAGAUGAUAGCAAUAUUGUCUUAGUGGCGAACGGGUGAGUAACGCGUUGGUGACCUACCCCAAAGUGUGGGAUAACAGUCCGAAAGGAUUGCUAAUACCGCAUGUGGUUAUCGGAUUUAGAAACUGAUAACUAAAGGAGCAAUUCGCUUUGGGAGGGACCUGCGUCCCAUCAGCUAGUUGGUGAGGUAAUGGCUCACCAAGGCUACGACGGGUAGGGGACCUGAGAGGGUGACCCCCCACAAUGGAACUGAAACACGGUCCAUACACCUACGGGUGGCAGCAGUAGGGAAUAUUGCACAAUGGGCGAAGGCCUGAUGCAGCAACGCCGCGUGUGCGAUGAAGGCCUUCGGGUCGUAAAGCACUUUUCUGAGGGAUGAGCAAGGACAGUACCUCAGGAAUAAGUCUCGGCUAACUACGU
This 458-nucleotide ribosomal RNA is filed under the name uncultured bacterium. RNAcentral's name for it is "bacterial SSU rRNA". It matches the Rfam family "Bacterial small subunit ribosomal RNA", at positions 29 to 506 of the family's 1533-position model. The record is from RNAcentral.